CUAGCCGUAAACGAUGGAUACUAGGCGUUGAGAGGAUCGACCCUCGCAGUGCCGUAGCUAACGCGUUAAGUAUCCCGCCUGGGGAGUACGCGCGCAAGCGUGAAACUCAAAGGAAUUGACGGGGGCCCGCACAAGCGGUGGAGUAUGUGGUUUAAUUCGAUGCAACGCGAAGAACCUUACCUGGGCUUGACAUGUCCGGAACCCUGCCCAAAGGUGGGGGUGCCUGCGGGAGCCGGAACACAGGUGGUGC
Molecule: ribosomal RNA, 250 nt
Filed under: uncultured Chroococcidiopsis sp.
Lineage: Bacteria; Bacillati; Cyanobacteriota; Cyanophyceae; Chroococcidiopsidales; Chroococcidiopsidaceae
Description: partial 16S ribosomal RNA
Rfam family: Bacterial small subunit ribosomal RNA
Source: RNAcentral